UCUAGUCCGCAGUCUAAUCGCUACUGGUGUAUUAGUAUUCGCAUUACUAAUUACGCAACUGCAUAACGUACAUCACGCAUUUGUUUGCAUUUUCAUUCCUCGUAUCGAUCAUUUGUAAAACGGAGUAGGGCAAAAUUGAAACGAUAACUCCAUAAUUAGAACAACAAUUCGCUCAGUGUGUAUAUAGACCAGACGUUGCUCCCUUUCUUUCUGAGCAGAGCGUGUUUCUUGAGCGGAAGGUGAUUCGACAAUUACGACGUCAUGAAACAUGGACGUACCAAAAGUUUUUGCAUCUAAAGAACGAGCACGGUGUUGCAGAGGAACUCGUAAAUGCUUUCAGACCAACGGCAGAAGACCGUAGAUCGUACUUGCUUGAAUUAUGCUCGGAGGUAGUUAGUUGGUAGAUUCAAAGUUCGAAAUGUGGAACAUUUUCUAGGACACUCUAAUCGCUAUCCGUUUCUUACAGAGUAGAUGGUAUUGUACCUAAAUCCAGCCGAUUAUUUCUGUACCUUUAAUGCGCGUAUGACAUCGAUUCGAUAUAAUACACGCGCUCAUUACACGUGUAAAAGAAACAAAAAAGACGUUCGAUGAACGGGAUUCGAACCGGCGAGAUCAAGCACAUGACCGGCCGAUUAUACCAUCUGCGGCACGGACACUACGCAACAGAGACCCGAGAACUACUAACCUACUUCCGCAGGUUAAAAACAGAGAAGGACAGACCGAAUAAUUUUCUUUAUGCAUGAUGUACGUUACGUAUUAGGUUGUCCGAAAAGUUUCUUUCGCUUUAUUAAUAAGUAAUACGUGCACAAUAUUCUAUGCUUUAUGUUACGUUACUGAAUUGUGCACGAUUCAUUUUGAUCCAUUGCCGUUACAACGUGAAUAUUUAUGAAACAAAGUCGGUUGAUUAGAUUGUUUAUAUAAACACGACCACGUAAAAUAAUUGAACGCAACUCGCGAAAGAAACUUUCGGGACAACCUAAUAAAAUCAUGGUAGCAAAGAUGUUUCCUUCGAUCUUGGAGAAAUGGACGAUUUUAAAAUAACCUGUUCCGUAUUUCGAAUCGAUCCUUUGGUGAAUAUCAACGUUACUCUUGUGUAACAAACUGUAUGCAAAAGUGUUGAAAUCAAAUGUAAUUUGUAUCUGA
Hylaeus anthracinus is the source of this 1143-nucleotide long non-coding RNA. RefSeq lists it as uncharacterized. Lineage: Eukaryota; Metazoa; Arthropoda; Insecta; Hymenoptera; Colletidae. The transcript is spliced from 2 exons. The record is from RefSeq and is a predicted model, not a curated record.